Molecule: long non-coding RNA, 497 nt
Filed under: Medicago truncatula (barrel medic)
Lineage: Eukaryota; Viridiplantae; Streptophyta; Magnoliopsida; Fabales; Fabaceae
Description: lncRNA gene15241
Rfam family: MIR5286 microRNA precursor family (bases 223-300)
Source: RNAcentral
CUUCACAAUAAAAAAAUAAAAGGUUAAUUAAGUAAAUGAUCCCUAUUUUAGUUUGAGAUUAGGAAGUUCUCUAAGUUGAGACAAGGAAAUUUGGGACAAUAUUGUCUUAGUGGUUUUGUUGUAAUCACGAUUUGAUUAUAGUGUAAAAUCCCUUAAAAGUGUAAGGGAGUCGGAAGUAAUCUCGGGUUGUAGGGUGAACCAGGAUAAUGAAGGACAGGACAGAACAACUCUAGUUGUCCAAUGUUUGAUUUGUAAAACUGUUUCAGGUACAGGACAAACUGGUGGCAAGGGACAGGACAAAAACUCAUAUUUUUGUCCCUCACCAAACCACAGCACAACUUUUUGUCCCACGUACAAGUUGUCUAAAAUACCAAAAUAGCAUUUUGUCCCUCAAAAAUCGUAUAUAACAAAAAAUUACUCAAUGUCAUAAAAAAUUUGUCCUGUGCUGUUCUGCCUUGUGUUGUACUGUUCUGUCCAGUACUUACUGUUUUGCAAAC